This 288-nucleotide unclassified non-coding RNA is filed under the name plant metagenome. RNAcentral describes it as "partial contains small subunit ribosomal RNA, internal transcribed spacer 1, and 5.8S ribosomal RNA". The stretch from base 1 to 54 matches the Rfam family "Eukaryotic small subunit ribosomal RNA", at positions 1778 to 1831 of the family's 1831-position model. The record is from RNAcentral.
GGAAGUAAAAGCCGUAACAAGGUUUCCGUAGGUGAACCUGCGGAAGGAUCAUUAUCGUACAAAAUGUGAGGGGCAUGCGAGGGCUGUCGCUGACCCAAAAGUCGUGCACGCCCGAGUGUGUCCUCUUGCAUAAUAAUCCAUCUCACCCUUUGUGCAUCACCGCGUGGGCACCCUUCGGGAUCAUCUCGGAGGGGGGCUCGCGUUUUCACACAAACCCCCCUUUUAAAAGUGUAGAAUGACACAUUUAUGCAAUCAAUACAACUUUCAACAACGGAUCUCUUGGCUCUC